CAAGAUGUAGUUUAAUUAGAACUUCAGUUUUGGGUGCUGGUGGUGAAGUUUAUUACUUCCUUCUUGA
Molecule: transfer RNA, 67 nt
Filed under: Diplomys labilis (rufous soft-furred spiny-rat)
Lineage: Eukaryota; Metazoa; Chordata; Mammalia; Rodentia; Echimyidae
Description: tRNA-Pro
Rfam family: tRNA
About the family: Transfer RNA (tRNA) molecules are approximately 80 nucleotides in length. Their secondary structure includes four short double-helical elements and three loops (D, anti-codon, and T loops).
Source: RNAcentral